UAUUGGUCAAUGGACGAGAGUCUGAACCAGCCAAGUAGCGUGAAGGAUGACUGCCCUACGGAUUGUAAACCUCUUUUGCCGGGGAGCAACGGGGUCCUUGCGAGGGCCCAAUGAGAGUACCCGGAGAAAAAGCAUCGGCUAACUCCGUGCCAGCAGCCGCGGUAAUACGGAGGAUGCGAGCGUUAUCCGGAUUUAUUGGGUUUUAAGGGUGCGUAGGCGGGCUGUUAAGUCAGCGGUCAAAUGUCGGGGCUCAACCCCGGCCUGCCGUUGAAACUGGCGGCCUCGAGUGGGCGAGAAGUAUGCGGAAUGCGUGGUGUAGCGGUGAAAUGCAUAGAUAUCACGCAGAACUCCGAUUGCGAAGGCAGCAUACCGGCGCCCUACUGACGCUGAGGCACGAAAGCGUGGGUAUCGAACAGG
Molecule: ribosomal RNA, 417 nt
Filed under: uncultured bacterium
Lineage: Bacteria
Description: bacterial SSU rRNA
Rfam family: Bacterial small subunit ribosomal RNA
Source: RNAcentral